This 449-nucleotide ribosomal RNA is filed under the name uncultured bacterium. Its description in RNAcentral is "bacterial SSU rRNA". It matches the Rfam family "Bacterial small subunit ribosomal RNA", at positions 331 to 795 of the family's 1533-position model. The record is from RNAcentral.
CCAGACUCCUACGGGAGGCAGCAGUGGGGGAUAUUGCACAAUGGGGGAAACCCUGAUGCAGCGACGCCGCGUGGGCGAAGAAGUAUUUCGGUAUGUAAAGCCCUUUCAGCAGGGAAGAAGAAAUGACGGUACCUGAGUAAGAAGCACCGGCUAAAUACGUGCCAGCAGCCGCGGUAAUACGUAUGGUGCAAGCGUUAUCCGGAUUUACUGGGUGUAAAGGGAGCGCAGGCGGCACGGCAAGCCUGAUGGGAAAGCCCGCGGCCCAACCGCGGGACUGCAUUGGGAACUGCGGGGCUGGAGUGCGGGAGGGGUAGGCGGAAUUCCUAGUGUAGCGGUGAAAUGCGUAGAUAUUAGGAGGAACACCAGUGGCGAAGGCGGCCUGCUGGACGGUGACUGACGCUGAGGCUCGAAAGCGUGGGGAGCAAACAGGAUUAGAUACCCUCGUAAAC